UGCACAUAAACUAAAUAUAGGUGGGCUUCCGUGAAGCUGAUAUCAGCUUAUCAACCCCAAAAAAAUAAAAAAAGUAGAAAAAACAGAAAAGAAAAAAAAUUGCCAGAAGCCUCAAAAAAUCACAUAUUUACCACUGCUUUCCUGAAAGGAACAGUGUAAGUGUUACAUAGCACAUCACACAGAGUUGCCUAAAAUUCCUCUUGACAUCUCUCCCUCUUCCCGAUACAUGGCCAUUAUUAAGCUUUCUUCACAGUCCCCGUGUGUUUAUAAUCACAGACCUUACCAGUCCCUUAGGAUAAGGGUUUUGUACUCCAGGACAACCACUUUUUUUGAGAGACCAGCCCACCAAGGUUUAUUAAUCAUCUAUCCCAGUUGCUCCCUGCUUUGGUCUUGUCUUCGAGACCACCUCACUGAGAUGCUCUGGGCCCUGCUGCGUCUCAACAGCCUUAACACUUACAUCCUUGCAAGUCAUGAGCCAGACUGGAAGCUCCUAAACCUGAGCUACUGUGUGAUAUCUGAGCCGUUACAGUUAUCAGGAGAGUCUAAUUGCGUAUGUUUUUUUAAGGCUCGAUUUCACCUUUUUCAAGAGCACUCCUUCCAUGAACCCUUGACCCAAUUCUACCAUCUACCAAAUCCUUCCUUCCAAGAUGGACCUUCACUUCUCCGGACACCAACCACAUUAAACAGAAUUGCCAACGUCAAACUCCGGUAGCUCUAAAAUCACUCGGGGCCGUUGUUUGAGGCCAUUUAGCUGAACGCACCUUUGCACCUUGAAUGGAGCCACUCGUGCUAUCGCGUCUCCCGCCCGCCCACAACUCUCUACCGACAGUCUACGACUUAGCCGGAGUUCACUACCAUCAGCUAACGGGAGAAAAAAUACAAGUUUCAUUCACGGAGGGAUGAGUUUCUGUACGCCGAACAUGGACUGCUGCCGUGUUCGAGUGGACGAGAAAGACGGCAGCGAGGGAAGAUCCACCCAGUGAGCUGAGCUUCAAGCAAUGACGCUGGUCAGCACUCUGGUGGCGACGUGAUGUCAAAUUCAAUGCUCACCGUAGACUUUGUGUCAACAGCUUCCCAGUAAUUCAGCUCGUCUGAGCACAUUCUCUGGUCCAUUUCCCAGGAAGCGCUCAAGGAAAACAUGUUUCCUGAACUCCUGCAAGCUGACGCCUGAGAAGUAAUUUUUAUGCUUCAAAAUCACUUUUGUUAGAAAUAAAAUAUUUUGUUCACAUUUUCCCCAAGUAUCUUAAAUGUAUUAUUUUUACCUGGCACAGUGCUGUUUCUAAGUCACUUGCUGUUUUUAUCUAGAUACCCAAACCUGAAGUCUUUAUAUGAGAGAACAUUCUCAGGUA
This is a long non-coding RNA of Canis lupus familiaris (dog), 1349 nucleotides long. RefSeq lists it as uncharacterized. NCBI's taxonomy places the organism in Eukaryota, Metazoa, Chordata, Mammalia, Carnivora, Canidae. The record is from RefSeq and is a predicted model, not a curated record. The transcript has 3 exons.